RNAcentral lists this antisense RNA (69 nucleotides) under Streptomyces sp. MMG1121. RNAcentral's name for it is "ASpks TB sRNA". It matches the Rfam family "ASpks TB sRNA". Lineage: Bacteria; Bacillati; Actinomycetota; Actinomycetes; Kitasatosporales; Streptomycetaceae. The record is from Rfam by way of RNAcentral.
CUUCACCGACCCCAGCCACAAAGGCACUUCACGCUCCUGGCCGUACGUGGCCAGCAAGGCCUGCGCCUC